UUGCAAGUCGAACGAUGAAGCCGCUUCGGUGGUGGAUUAGUGGCGAACGGGUGAGUAACACGUGGGCAAUCUGCCCUUCACUCUGGGACAAGCCCUGGAAACGGGGUCUAAUACCGGAUAACACUCUGUCCCGCAUGGGACGGGGUUAAAAGCUCCGGCGGUGAAGGAUGAGCCCGCGGCCUAUCAGCUUGUUGGUGGGGUAAUGGCCUACCAAGGCGACGACGGGUAGCCGGCCUGAGAGGGCGACCGGCCACACUGGGACUGAGACACGGCCCAGACUCCUACGGGAGGCAGCAGUGGGGAAUAUUGCACAAUGGGCGAAAGCCUGAUGCAGCGACGCCGCGUGAGGGAUGACGGCCUUCGGGUUGUAAACCUCUUUCAGCAGGGAAGAAGCGAAAGUGACGGUACCUGCAGAAGAAGCGCCGGCUAACUACGUGCCAGCAGCCGCGGUAAUACGUAGGGCGCAAGCGUUGUCCGGAAUUAUUGGGCGUAAAGAGCUCGUAGGCGGCUUGUCACGUCGGAUGUGAAAGCCCGGGGCUUAACCCCGGGUCUGCAUUCGAUACGGGCUAGCUAGAGUGUGGUAGGGGAGAUCGGAAUUCCUGGUGUAGCGGUGAAAUGCGCAGAUAUCAGGAGGAACACCGGUGGCGAAGGCGGAUCUCUGGGCCAUUACUGACGCUGAGGAGCGAAAGCGUGGGGAGCGAACAGGAUUAGAUACCCUGGUAGUCCACGCCGUAAACGUUGGGAACUAGGUGUUGGCGACAUUCCACGUCGUCGGUGCCGCAGCUAACGCAUUAAGUUCCCCGCCUGGGGAGUACGGCCGCAAGGCUAAAACUCAAAGGAAUUGACGGGGGCCCGCACAAGCAGCGGAGCAUGUGGCUUAAUUCGACGCAACGCGAAGAACCUUACCAAGGCUUGACAUAUACCGGAAAGCAUCAGAGAUGGUGCCCCCCUUGUGGUCGGUAUACAGGUGGUGCAUGGCUGUCGUCAGCUCGUGUCGUGAAAUGUUGGGUUAAGUCCCGCAACGAGCGCAACCCUUGUUCUGUGUUGCCAGCAUGCCCUUCGGGGUGAUGGGGACUCACAGGAGACUGCCGGGGUCAACUCGGAGGAAGGUGGGGACGACGUCAAGUCAUCAUGCCCCUUAUGUCUUGGGCUGCACACGUGCUACAAUGGCCGGUACAAUGAGCUGCGAUGCCGCGAGGCGGAGCGAAUCUCAAAAAGCCGGUCUCAGUUCGGAUUGGGGUCUGCAACUCGACCCCAUGAAGUCGGAGUUGCUAGUAAUCGCAGAUCAGCAUUGCUGCGGUGAAUACGUUCCCGGGCCUUGUACACACCGCCCGUCACGUCACGAAAGUCGGUAACACCCGAAGCCGGUGGCCCAACCCCUU
This 1382-nucleotide ribosomal RNA is filed under the name Streptomyces griseus. RNAcentral describes it as "bacterial SSU rRNA". It matches the Rfam family "Bacterial small subunit ribosomal RNA". The record is from RNAcentral. Lineage: Bacteria; Bacillati; Actinomycetota; Actinomycetes; Kitasatosporales; Streptomycetaceae.